RNAcentral lists this ribosomal RNA (503 nucleotides) under uncultured bacterium. RNAcentral describes it as "partial 16S ribosomal RNA". It matches the Rfam family "Bacterial small subunit ribosomal RNA", at positions 30 to 523 of the family's 1533-position model. The record is from RNAcentral.
AUUGAACGCUGGCGGCAGGCUUAACACAUGCAAGUCGAGCGGGGUGAUGGUGCUUGCACUAUCACUUAGCGGCGGACGGGUGAGUAAUGCUUAGGAAUCUGCCUAUUAGUGGGGGACAACAUCUCGAAAGGGAUGCUAAUACCGCAUACGUCCUACGGGAGAAAGCAGGGGAUCACUUGUGACCUUGCGCUAAUAGAUGAGCCUAAGUCGGAUUAGCUAGUUGGUGGGGUAAAGGCCUACCAAGGCGACGAUCUGUAGCGGGUCUGAGAGGAUGAUCCGCCACACUGGGACUGAGACACGGCCCAGACUCCUACGGGAGGCAGCAGUGGGGAAUAUUGGACAAUGGGGGGAACCCUGAUCCAGCCAUGCCGCGUGUGUGAAGAAGGCCUUAUGGUUGUAAAGCACUUUAAGCGAGGAGGAGGCUCUUUUGGUUAAUACCCAAGAUGAAUGGACGUUACUCGCAGAAUAAGCACCGGCUAACUCCGUGCCAGCCGCCGCAGUAA